Molecule: long non-coding RNA, 210 nt
Organism: Hippocampus zosterae (dwarf seahorse)
Lineage: Eukaryota; Metazoa; Chordata; Actinopteri; Syngnathiformes; Syngnathidae
Exons: 2
Source: RefSeq, a predicted model, not a curated record
UUUAAAUAAUCAUUUACAAUUAUCAAAGACAACAUCUUUACAAAUGAUCAGCUACAACAGGUCACUGAGUGAUUGGUUAGGAGCCAUCCAAAUAACAAUUAUCGAUACUGUGACUCACACAAAUUGUGUCUCGCAAACUUACCUUCAUUAAAUUUCUAUAUACAUAGAUUCUGGUAUGCAUUGCUCGAAUUGAGAACUACACAUUUUAAA